AUUGAACGCUGGCGGCAGGCCUAACACAUGCACGUCGAGCGGAGCUUCGGCCGGGUGUGUAAUGCCUAGUAAUCUGCCUGGUAGUGGGGGAUAACGUCCGGAAACGGGCGCUCAUACCGCAUACUAUCAGAUGAGCCUAGGUCGGAUUAGCUAGUUGGUGGGGUAAAGGCCUACCAAGGCGACUAUCCGUAACUGGUCUGAGAGGAGGAUAAGUCAAACUGGAACUGAGACACGGUCCAGACUCCUACGGGAGGCAGCAGUGGGGAAUAUUGGACAAUGGGCGAAAGCCUGAUCCAGCCAUGCCGCGUGUGUGAAGAAGGUCUUCGGAUUGUAAAGCACUUUAAGUUGGGAGGCGUUACCAACAGAAUAAGCACCGGCUAACUUCGUGCCAGCCGCCGCGGUAAUAC
Molecule: ribosomal RNA, 407 nt
Filed under: uncultured bacterium
Lineage: Bacteria
Description: partial 16S ribosomal RNA
Rfam family: Bacterial small subunit ribosomal RNA
Source: RNAcentral